CAAUUCCUGGAACAGAUAAAGCCCCAAACUGCUCAGAACAGCGCGCAGACCUCUUGCCUCUCUACUCCCCAAACCUGCCCGUGGUUCCUCAGUAAUCCCUGAGCACCCGCAGCUCCCGGGUUCCCUGCUGCGCCCGCCUGGAGCCCAAAUUCCAUCCGAGUGGCAGGUGGCGGAGGCCACAGCGCUGGUGCACACGCUGGACGGCUGGUCCGUGGUGCAGACAAUGGUCGUGUCCACCAAAACGCCGGACAGGAAGCUCAUCUUUGGCAAAGGGAACUUUGAGCACCUGACAGGUGGGUCCGUCCAGACCUGCUCCUUCCCCAAACCUCCUUUCCUGUCCGCUGCUACAGAAAACAUCCAACCGAGACAUGCUGAAGUACGGGGGUCUUGCGGGGCCAGAGGGGAAGCGGCCUCUCGGAUUGCCCAGGUAAGCUGGGAGCACACGCCAGUAGGAGUCGGAGGACGGUGAGGCUUUAUCUGUGUCGAGAUUCACACCAGGCCCUGGAGAGGCUUAAACUGGUAAAGAUUAGGUCGGGGCAGUUUAUAGAGUCCAACAAACAGGGUAGGCAGUGGACCGGCUGUAACCCCACCUGCCCCUGCAGGCCCCAGCCAAAUCCUCCUUCUGGGUGCCCCCCCACCCCACCCCACCAGCAGUCUCUUAGGGUGGGGUCCAGCAUGGGAUCCUUGCGCUUCCCGGGUUUCUGACCAUCCCGCUUACGGUAGAGUUAGGAAGACGCUACUCACUUGCCCAGGUGGGGGUCGGCUGCCCUGGGUCACCUGCCCAGGUGGGGGUCAGCUUUCCUGCCUGACUCAAAUGCAUCUCACCCCUGCUGGGAUGUCUUCACCGUGUGUGUGUAUGUGUGUGUGUGUGUGUGUGUGUGUCCCCAAUGGGAUGUGUCCACGGUGCAUGUGUGUCUGUGUCCCUGUCGGGAUGUGUUACGCUGUGUUUGUGUCUGUCUGUGUGUGUGUUCCACCAGCUGUGUUCUCCGUGCAUGUGUGUCUGUCCCUGUCAGGAUGUGUUACUGUGUGUGUCUCUGUGUGUGUCUCUGUGUGUGUGUCUGCACAUGUCUGUGUCUGUCCCUGUUGGGAUGUGUUUACUGAGUGUGUCUGUGUGUGUGUCUGUGUGUCUGUCCCUGUCGGGAUGUGUUUACUGUGUGUGUGUCUGCGUGUGUAUGUGUUUGUGUCCCUGUCGGGAUGUGUUCGCCGUAUGCAUGUCUAUGUCUGUGAGACACACACCCCUAGAGACACACCUCCCACGCUGACUUCCUGGAUCCCGGG
This 1278-nucleotide long non-coding RNA is filed under the name Pan troglodytes (chimpanzee). RNAcentral's name for it is "long non-coding RNA NONPTRT018592". The record is from RNAcentral. Lineage: Eukaryota; Metazoa; Chordata; Mammalia; Primates; Hominidae.